This is a long non-coding RNA of Rhagoletis pomonella (apple maggot), 326 nucleotides long. RefSeq lists it as uncharacterized. The record is from RefSeq and is a predicted model, not a curated record. Lineage: Eukaryota; Metazoa; Arthropoda; Insecta; Diptera; Tephritidae. The transcript is spliced from 2 exons.
AUGUAUGGUGUCCACAUUGUCAAUGUAGAGUUGUUCGCCCAAGACGCGCUCCACCACGGUUUCGGCGCGCUUGCCCUUUUCGUACUUAAUACAAACUGAACAGUGAGGAAAUACAUCUGACUGGCAACAGUUUAAGUGCGCCCAGCUUAAAUCUCAUCAUCAUCGAGACCCGCAUCUUCUGGGGGGAAAUCGCCCACCUCUACAGCAUUUGGCAGCACAAAACCACCAUAGUUUGGUGCGCAACUAAAGUAACUCCUACCCUCGAUACUGCAAAUAAGUACAAGUUAUAUAAAAAAUAAAAUUUCGAACUGUCAAGUACAUGAACA